GACCGCGUAGCUCAGUUGGAAGAGCAUUGGGCUAGUAUCCAAAGGUCGUAGGUUGGAAUCCCACCGUGGCCG
Molecule: transfer RNA, 72 nt
Filed under: Paramuricea clavata
Lineage: Eukaryota; Metazoa; Cnidaria; Anthozoa; Malacalcyonacea; Plexauridae
Rfam family: tRNA
About the family: Transfer RNA (tRNA) molecules are approximately 80 nucleotides in length. Their secondary structure includes four short double-helical elements and three loops (D, anti-codon, and T loops).
Source: Rfam by way of RNAcentral